UCUACAAUACGACAGUGGGCUUCUCUAU
Molecule: small RNA, 28 nt
Filed under: Bombyx mori (domestic silkworm)
Lineage: Eukaryota; Metazoa; Arthropoda; Insecta; Lepidoptera; Bombycidae
Description: piRNA piR-bmo-1526161
Source: RNAcentral